CAGUCGCCGCGGUAAAACGUAGGUGGCAAGCGUUGUCCGGAAUUAUUGGGCGUAAAGGGCUCGCAGGCGGUUUCUUAAGUCUGAUGUGAAGGCCCCCGGCUCAACCGGGGAGGGUCAUUGGAAACUGGGAAACUUGAGUGCAGAAGAGGAGAGUGGAAUUCCACGUGUAGCGGUGAAAUGCGUAGAGAUGUGGAGGAACACCAGUGGCGAAGGCGACUCUCUGGUCUGUAACUGACGCUGAGGAGCGAAAGCGUGGGGAGCGAACAGGAUUAGAUACCCCAGUAGUCCCUGUCUCUUAUAC
Molecule: ribosomal RNA, 301 nt
Filed under: uncultured bacterium
Lineage: Bacteria
Description: partial 16S ribosomal RNA
Rfam family: Bacterial small subunit ribosomal RNA
Source: RNAcentral